UAAAAUGGGAGGUAAAUUUCUCCUAAGGCUAAAUAACGGCGAGAGACCGAUAGCGAACAAGUACCGUGAGGGAAAGAUGAAAAGAACUUUGAAAAGAGAGUUAAACAGUACGUGAAAUUGUUGAAAGGGAAACGAUUGAAGCCAGUCGUACCUAUGGGUAAUCAGCCUUUUGGGUGUGAUUUUGUGGAGCGUGAGGAGUUAAACGCCUUCAUGCCUGCAUAUUCGUGCACUUUGGGUGUACUUGCCCGUGUGUAAGUUAACAUCAAUUUUGGUGGUCAUAAAGUGGCUGGAGGAAUGUAGCUUCGAUCUUGUAUUGAAGUGUUAUAGCCUUCGGUAGAUGUGACGAUCGGGAUUGAGGAUUGCAACGGAUACCCUUCGGGGCUACCUGUCUGAUCUCUGAUUGUUGCUCUGGUGCCGAAAGCUUGCUUACGGUUAUCAAAGUCGAUGUUCAAUAGGUUAGAAAUGGGUUAAA
RNAcentral lists this ribosomal RNA (472 nucleotides) under uncultured Rhizophagus. RNAcentral describes it as "eukaryotic LSU rRNA". It matches the Rfam family "Eukaryotic large subunit ribosomal RNA", at positions 288 to 643 of the family's 3401-position model. Lineage: Eukaryota; Fungi; Glomeromycota; Glomeromycetes; Glomerales; Glomeraceae. The record is from RNAcentral.